Molecule: non-coding RNA, 27 nt
Filed under: Homo sapiens (human)
Lineage: Eukaryota; Metazoa; Chordata; Mammalia; Primates; Hominidae
Source: RNAcentral
UACGAAGCCACCAUGAGGACGAAAGAG